RNAcentral lists this ribosomal RNA (253 nucleotides) under uncultured bacterium. Its description in RNAcentral is "partial 16S ribosomal RNA". It matches the Rfam family "Bacterial small subunit ribosomal RNA", at positions 524 to 776 of the family's 1533-position model. The record is from RNAcentral.
UACGUAGGUGACAAGCGUUGUCCGGAUUUACUGGGCGUAAAGAGCGCGCAGGCGGUCGAUCAAGUCGAGUGUGAAAGCCCCCGGCUCAACUGGGGAGGGUCAUUCGAUACUGAUCGACUCGAAGGCAGGAGAGGGUAGUGGAAUUCCCGGUGUAGUGGUGAAAUGCGUAGAUAUCGGGAGGAACACCAGUGGCGAAGGCGGCACCCUGGCGUCGUACUGACGCACAUGUGCGAAAGCGUGGGGAGCGAACGGG